AUUGAACGCUAGCGGCAGGCUUAACACAUGCAAGUCGAGCGAGCGGCGGACGGGUGAGUAAUGUCUCGGAACCUGCCUAGUAGCGGGGGAUAACUACUGGAAACGGUGGCUAAUACCGCAUACCAUCGGAUGUGCCCAGAUGGGAUUAGCUAGUAGGUGGGGUAAUGGCUCACCUAGGCGACGAUCCCUAGCUGGUCUGAGAGGACGACCAGCCACACUGGAACUGAGACACGGUCCAGACUACUACGGGAGGCAGCAGUGGGGAAUAUUGCACAAUGGGCGCAAGCCUGAUGCAGCCAUGCCGCGUGUAUGAAGAAGGCCUUCGGGUUGUAAAGUACUUUCAGCGGGGAGGCGUUACCAGCAGAAGAAGCACCGGCUAACUCCGUGCCAGCAGCCGCGGUAAUAC
RNAcentral lists this ribosomal RNA (406 nucleotides) under uncultured bacterium. RNAcentral's name for it is "partial 16S ribosomal RNA". It matches the Rfam family "Bacterial small subunit ribosomal RNA", at positions 30 to 526 of the family's 1533-position model. The record is from RNAcentral.